This 464-nucleotide ribosomal RNA is filed under the name Vreelandella stevensii. RNAcentral describes it as "partial 16S ribosomal RNA". It matches the Rfam family "Bacterial small subunit ribosomal RNA", at positions 338 to 795 of the family's 1533-position model. The record is from RNAcentral. Lineage: Bacteria; Pseudomonadati; Pseudomonadota; Gammaproteobacteria; Oceanospirillales; Halomonadaceae.
CCUACGGGCGCUGCAGUGGGGAAUAUUGGACAAUGGGCGAAAGCCUGAUCCAGCCAUGCCGCGUGUGUGAAGAAGGCCUUCGGGUUGUAAAGCACUUUCAGUGGGGAAGAAAGCCUUGGGGCUAAUACCCUCGAGGAAGGACAUCACCCACAGAAGAAGCACCGGCUAACUCCGUGCCAGCAGCCGCGGUAAUACGGAGGGUGCGAGCGUUAAUCGGAAUUACUGGGCGUAAAGCGCGCGUAGGCGGUCUGAUAAGCCGGUUGUGAAAGCCCCGGGCUCAACCUGGGAACGGCAUCCGGAACUGUCAGGCUAGAGUGCAGGAGAGGAAGGUAGAAUUCCCGGUGUAGCGGUGAAAUGCGUAGAGAUCGGGAGGAAUACCAGUGGCGAAGGCGGCCUUCUGGACUGACACUGACGCUGAGGUGCGAAAGCGUGGGUAGCAAACAGGAUUAGAUACCCUUGUAGUC